This is a non-coding RNA of Triticum aestivum (bread wheat), 124 nucleotides long. The record is from Rfam. NCBI's taxonomy places the organism in Eukaryota, Viridiplantae, Streptophyta, Magnoliopsida, Poales, Poaceae.
UAUAUACUCCCUCCGUCCGGAAAUACAUGUCGGGGAAAUAGAUGUACCUAGAUGUAUUUUAGUUCUAAAUACAUCCAUUUUUAUCCAUUUCUACGACAAGUAAUUUGGGACGGAGGAAUAUAAG